CGUGAGACAGUUCGGUCCCUAUCUGCCGUGGGCGUUGGAAAUUUGAGAGGAGCUGCUCAUAGUACGAGAGGACCGGAGUGGACGUACCCCUGGUGUUCGGGUUGUCAUGCCAAUGGCAUUGCCCGGUAGCUAUGUACGGACGGGAUAACCGCUGAAAGCAUCUAAGCGGGAAGCCCCCCUCAAGAUUAGAUUUCCCCGAGCUUUAAGCUCCUGAAGGGCCGUAGAAGACCACUACGUUGAUAGGUUGGGUGUGGAAGUGCAGUAAUGUAUGAAGCUAACCAAUACUAAUUGCCCGUGAGGCUUGACCAUAUAACCCCAAGUAAGUUGGG
This 329-nucleotide ribosomal RNA is filed under the name Methylophaga sp. RNAcentral describes it as "bacterial LSU rRNA". It matches the Rfam family "Bacterial large subunit ribosomal RNA", at positions 2620 to 2925 of the family's 2925-position model. The record is from RNAcentral. Lineage: Bacteria; Pseudomonadati; Pseudomonadota; Gammaproteobacteria; Thiotrichales; Piscirickettsiaceae.